UGGGGAAUAUUGCACAAUGGGCGAAAGCCUGAUGCAGCGACGCCGCGUGAGGGAUGACGGCCUUCGGGUUGUAAACCUCUUUCAGCAGGGAAGAAGCGAAAGUGACGGUACCUGCAGAAGAAGCGCCGGCUAACUACGUGCCAGCAGCCGCGGUAAUACGUAGGGCGCAAGCGUUGUCCGGAAUUAUUGGGCGUAAAGAGCUCGUAGGCGGUUAGUCGCGUCUGCUGUGAAAACUCGAGGCUCAACCUCGGGCUUGCAGUGGGUACGGGCUGACUAGAGUGCGGUAGGGGUGACUGGAAUUCCUGGUGUAGCGGUGGAAUGCGCAGAUAUCAGGAGGAACACCGAUGGCGAAGGCAGGUCACUGGGCCGCAACUGACGCUGAGGAGCGAAAGCAUGGGGAGCGAACAGGAUUAGAUAGCCCUGGUAGUCCAUGCCGUAAACGUU
This 444-nucleotide ribosomal RNA is filed under the name uncultured bacterium. Its description in RNAcentral is "partial 16S ribosomal RNA". It matches the Rfam family "Bacterial small subunit ribosomal RNA", at positions 355 to 810 of the family's 1533-position model. The record is from RNAcentral.